This 253-nucleotide ribosomal RNA is filed under the name uncultured prokaryote. RNAcentral's name for it is "partial 16S ribosomal RNA". It matches the Rfam family "Bacterial small subunit ribosomal RNA", at positions 525 to 777 of the family's 1533-position model. The record is from RNAcentral.
ACAGAGGUGGCAAGCGUUGUUCGGAAUUACUGGGCGUAAAGGGCGCGUAGGCGGCCUACUAAGUCAGACGUGAAAUCCCUCGGCUUAACCGGGGAACUGCGUCUGAUACUGGAUGGCUUGAGUUCGGGAGAGGGAUGCGGAAUUCCAGGUGUAGCGGUGAAAUGCGUAGAUAUCUGGAGGAACACCGGUGGCGAAGGCGGCAUCCUGGACCGAAACUGACGCUGAUGAGCGAAAGCCAGGGGAGCAAACGGGA